UACGAAGGGGGCUAGCGUUGCUCGGAAUCACUGGGCGUAAAGGGCGCGUAGGCGGAUCUUUAAGUCGGGGGUGAAAUCCUGAGGCUCAACCUCAGAAUUGCCUUCGAUACUGGAGAUCUUGAGACCGGAAGAGGUGAGUGGAACUGCGAGUGUAGAGGUGAAAUUCGUAGAUAUUCGCAAGAACACCAGUGGCGAAGGCGGCUCACUGGCCCGGUACUGACGCUGAGGUGCGAAAGCGUGGGGAGCAAACAGG
This 253-nucleotide ribosomal RNA is filed under the name uncultured bacterium. RNAcentral describes it as "partial 16S ribosomal RNA". It matches the Rfam family "Bacterial small subunit ribosomal RNA", at positions 524 to 776 of the family's 1533-position model. The record is from RNAcentral.